CCUUGACAUACUAAGAACUUUCCAGAGAUGGAUUGGUGGCCUUCGGGAACUUAGAUACAGGUGCUGCAUGGCUGUCGUCAGCUCGUGUCGUGAGAUGUUGGGUUAAGUCCCGCAACGAGCGCAACCCUUUUCCUUAUUUGCCAGCGGGUCAUGCCGGGAACUUUAAGGAUACUGCCAGUGACAAACUGGAGGAAGGCGGGGACGACGUCAAGUCAUCAUGGCCCUUACGGCCAGGGCUACACACGUGCUACAAUGGUCGGUACAAAGGGUUGCUACCUCGCGAGAGGAUGCUAAUCUCAAAAAGCCGAUCGUAGUCCGGAUCGCAGUCUGCAACUCGACUGCGUGAAGUCGGAAUCGCUAGUAAUCGCGGAUCAGAAUGCCGCGGUGAAUACGUUCCCGGGCCUUGUACACACCGCCCGUCACACCAUGGGAGUUUGUUGCACCAGAAGUAGGUAGUCUAACCGCAAGGAGGACGCUUACCACGGUGUGGCCGAUGACUGGGGUGAAGUCGUAACAAGGUAAGCGUAGAUGA
RNAcentral lists this ribosomal RNA (532 nucleotides) under uncultured bacterium. RNAcentral describes it as "bacterial SSU rRNA". It matches the Rfam family "Bacterial small subunit ribosomal RNA", at positions 979 to 1509 of the family's 1533-position model. The record is from RNAcentral.